CCUACGGGGUGCUGCAGUGGGGAAUAUUGGACAAUGGGCGAAAGCCUGAUCCAGCCAUGCCGCGUGUGUGAAGAAGGCCUUCGGGUUGUAAAGCACUUUCAGUGGGGAAGAAAGCCUUGGGGCUAAUACCCUCGAGGAAGGACAUCACCCACAGAAGAAGCACCGGCUAACUCCGUGCCAGCAGCCGCGGUAAUACGGAGGGUGCGAGCGUUAAUCGGAAUUACUGGGCGUAAAGCGCGCGUAGGCGGUCUGAUAAGCCGGUUGUGAAAGCCCCGGGCUCAACCUGGGAACGGCAUCCGGAACUGUCAGGCUAGAGUGCAGGAGAGGAAGGUAGAAUUCCCGGUGUAGCGGUGAAAUGCGUAGAGAUCGGGAGGAAUACCAGUGGCGAAGGUGGCCUUCUGGACUGACACUGACGCUGAGGUGCGAAAGCGUGGGUAGCAAACAGGAUUAGAUACCCGAGUAGUC
This 465-nucleotide ribosomal RNA is filed under the name Vreelandella stevensii. Its description in RNAcentral is "partial 16S ribosomal RNA". It matches the Rfam family "Bacterial small subunit ribosomal RNA", at positions 338 to 795 of the family's 1533-position model. The record is from RNAcentral. Lineage: Bacteria; Pseudomonadati; Pseudomonadota; Gammaproteobacteria; Oceanospirillales; Halomonadaceae.